This 8487-nucleotide long non-coding RNA is filed under the name Triticum aestivum (bread wheat). RNAcentral describes it as "long non-coding RNA (TAES_LNC003138)". The record is from RNAcentral. Lineage: Eukaryota; Viridiplantae; Streptophyta; Magnoliopsida; Poales; Poaceae.
UUGUUUGUUUGUUUUGUUUUAUUUUUUUGUUUUAAUUUUAUUUCAUAAUUUGUUUUAGUUUGGUAAAAUAUCCAAUUAGCACCUAACAUAGUAACAUUAAUUAUACCACUGCCACAACAACUUUGGCACCUAGCUAAAUAGCUUAGUAUUUUGUAAAAUAUAUUAGGAGUAUAACUAAUUGUUUUUGCUGUUGUUUUAAUCACCUUAGGGUAUUAAUUAUUUUAUAAAGAUGUUGUUUCUCCACCAAUAAUAUCCAUGAUUUAUUUGUCACAUUAAGAACAUUUUAGUUUUGACUUUCGAUAACUUUAAUUGUUUGACUUGACUUAAAUUUGAAAUUGAAUGAGAUUUGAAUCAUCGCAAGAUUAACAAUAGUAAUCAUGGUGACGUGGCAUCAUUAGCCGAGGUUUACUGUAGCGUAACUAUCCGGGCGUCACAAUUCUCCUCCACUACAAGAAAUCUCGUCCCGAGAUUUAAGAGGUGGAAUAAGGGGGAAAGGUUUGGUUACGAAAUCCUAACGAAUCUUCUUGGUCAUGGAUGCUCUUCACAAAGAGGUCGAUCCAUUAUGUUGAUGUCUUCAUUCCUCUGCUUCAGGGCAUCAUGAUGAAGUCGCCAUCCUUUCUUCAGGAUCUCCAUCGUACUUACGAAUAGGUAAGGGGCAGCUCGGCUACGACAUAAUGCUUAUGAGGGAAACAAUCUGGGGUUAACCCAUGAAUGAGCAUAAGAUUAUCUCUCGAGUUGAACAUAUAAAAUACAUCGAGAGUAAGGUACGAAGGUACAAUAAGAGGUUCCAAGUGGAUAGGUGGUUGCUCGAAGUCCGAACCAGAGUGAGAAAGGGGUUCAGAGUAGCGACAGUAAAUAUUGCGUCUGAUACCAUAAUAGAGCACUAGGAAGGUGGCCCAUGAAUUAAAUAUGAAGCCAAGCGUGGGGAAUAACCACUAGAAACAGGGUUGUACAGGAGAGUCAGGUUUCGAUCCAGUGGACCUGUGGGUUAUGGGCCCACCAUGUGGGUUAGAAGUAGGAAGGGCGGAGACGUCUUGCGUGAUCAUGCAAGCAAGGCAUGUCAGGGGGGUAGCCUGUCGAUUAUGUCGGCGACAACGUCGAUACCAAGGGCGAGGGACGAAGAGAACUAUUUUCCUGCUCGUUGAACGAGGUGGGCCAAGAGGCAAAGUUAUCAUCCAUCGGCGGUUACCGAAAUGCCAUCAACAAUAGAAACAGGGUCUCACUGUCAGAGUUGUACACCGAGGUGUUUACCUACGCAGUGAAUUAUUACUGCUUAGAUUAUAUAGAUCACAAGAAAGGUUAAACCAAACAACAGAAAGGAAAUAUGGUUAUCAAAUUACACAUAACAAAGACAAGGAAAAUGUGUUUAAUCACAUAUUUCAGGGGUAUAACCUUCCCAAGGACAAGCAGAGCAUGAUAUCCAUGACAGGAUAUAAUGAAGAAAACUCUUUAGGUAGGGGAGAGAAUUUUCAUGACACUACCCAUACAACGGUGUUUGGAUAAUUGAGCAGGAAACUUUUAGCCUUGGGCUCCAAAUGUUCUUGUUGGAAAUCGGAGUAUCACAAACAAGCUUUUGAGAUAGCAUUGACAUGGUAUUCAAACAAAGGUUGAACUUUAGAUACUCAAUGGAUCCAUCAGGAACAGCUUAUAAAAUAGGUCUUAUAAUUUCCUCCAGGAGGAGUGGUUAUCCUUGCAAAAGAAAUUAUAACGAUAGGUCCUCCACCUAGGGGGGUGCUAGGCAUGACAUCAUGUUACCGGGUCAUCAAAGAACCAACAUCAUAACUCUUGGAAAGUUGUCCCAACCAUCAUAUCUGACUGAGAUUCAGAUCCGAUUGGUGUCAUGAUACCUCAGACUCAGGAUGUCCGAGAAGAAAAGGGGCUACACAACUCGACGAAAUGACAUUGCAAGAUUCUCAGGAAAUGAACUAUGGGAGCGGGUUCCUGAAACAAUAGUUCAUCAUUAAACCAAGGAGGGGAUGAGAAGGUGGCUGAUGGGCUCAGCGACAAUUCAUCGAAAAUUCCAAGCGGAUGGAUUUUCCACAAUAAUGUGAACAAGGAGAUAGCACUUGUCAGACCAAAUGGUAUAAUGAAGCAUGCUCAAGGACAACAUACACAACUAAACAUUGGUUGAAAGGUGCACCCGAAAUAUGGGUUGGGCUGCACGACCAAUGUCAGAAUGGUGAUUCAAUAAUCAAUAGUCUAAGAAUGAACGGUUGACCAUUAACUUCAAAGCAAUAGGGUUGCUAGAAGUACAGAAUCCAAACAGCACCGUUCACUUUUUGGUACCCCGGUUGAAAUCAACACGAGGACCAUGAAAGAAUGGUGAUGGUGAGAAGUAGCACUACACCAAGAACUCUCAAGAGGUGGAACAAAUCUCAGAACAUUCUUGACAUAAAAGAUGGUAAUACUCCAAGAUAAAGAAGAACAAAGGCUGGAUAGCAAGGAACUCAAGGUAUAACACAAAACAUGAACAAGUUUGUGUUGGGGGAAGGCAAGAAUGUCGUCGAUGAUAACACAAUCAUCAAGGGGCAAGGAUGGUAUUUCUCAUCACGAAUUCGAUUGAUAUCCUGUAAGAGCUCAGAAUGUAGAUGAUGAUUACGACACAUUUGUCGAGAGGUUUCAUGAAGAUGUAAUCGAAUAACGAUGACAUCAAGUCAAAGGACUGAUGAAGCGAAAGUUACUAAAACCAAGGGUACGACACGAACUCGAAAUCAAGCUUGAUGUUCAAGGCGAAAUGAUAUGACAAGGAAGAUCGACGUAAGUCUAGCUCAUCGUCGAAAGUUGUGCUCCGAAAGAAGGACCAGGUAGCACAGUUCAAAUUUUGCAUGAUAAUGAUAUAGCUGAUAAGGCUAGGAAUGACUUGAAGGAUUAUUAAACUCAUAAGCAACAAGAAUUACUUAGAGUUAUUGAAUCGGAGUAUGGAAUCGAUUCACUUAUCGGUGUUCCCGAGUGUCUAAUAACUCGGAGCCCGUGGAAAAUUGGAAUCAGCGAGAAUGUAGUACUUGAACAAGAACUCAUAAGAAGUAAUGCAGUUCCAAGAUAAUCUCAAGAUACCAGGGGGGUAAUACUCGAAGACAGAUCAAAGUAGAGGUUGGACUGGGGUGUUAAUCCGCAGAAGACAAAUGUUUAAACUUGCCCGAGAAAUGGGAACAAAGAAGAACAAUAUGGUCGAAACCAUAACUACAAGGGGUCCAAUUUAAUAACACCGAAAGAAUUACUCGAAUGAGUAAAUAUUGGCAAGAAGCUUCCAUGAUAAGUUCCACAUCAGGUCCAUGGGCAUGAACUCAGAGAUCAAGGUCGACUCCCACUUCUUCAAUGUAUAACCUCCCAUUCACUUCUCCCUUUGAUAAAGGCAUUAGUGUUGAAAGUUUUACCUGGUGUAAUACCAGACGAGUAUGACUCGUGAAAACUUUCGAGUUCACACAUAUUAAGGAAGGCAUGCGUUCAACCCGUCAGGGUAUCGUGGAAACAUAUACCACAAGCUUCAAUCGUAAAUACCACCAGCUCGAAAUUAGAGCAUGGUUGAUAAAACAGAGGAUACAAUUUACCAAAAGCAUUAUGUAUCAGAGGAAAGGCUCACGAGGUUAUUGAUUAAGGAGGACACUGUCGAAUAAUAAUCCAAUAAAGGAUCCGACGGUCCAUAGCGGAGGUGAUGUGAGCAUCGGCCCACAAUCAGUUGAAGAACGGAUGCAAGGGCAUCAGAUUAUAGAACACCUGAAUGAUUCGAUGCUUAGAUAUCAAAGGAAUUACGAUUUCCAAAUAGAAGGAUCAGAAGAAGACGCUCUGAUCAAGGGUGGAUAAGUUCAAUAGACCUAAGGGUACAAUUGACGGCGAACAGAAUGGUCGACAACAAGCUCAUGUUCAAAAAUGACGUCUGAGCCAGAAAGAUAAUUUAAAAGGAUCAAAUGAUGAUUGCGUGCAUUCGCACUCAUGUUGAAUCAAUAGGAUCAAAAUGACGGUGCCUAAGGAUACUAACGAAUAUUGCCAGACAUAUGGAAAGCAUCCACAAUGCAAGCAGACAAGUAUUGCAGAGCAAUAAGCUACUAAGGAUUUUUGGAGUAUCGAAUAGUAUUUCGAAGACUUUUGUGAAACACAUGAACAACUGGGGAUAAGCGGAUACUCGACAAGUGCGAGAAUUAUCCAUAGGGGUAUUCAGGUGACAAGGAAUUGCAAGACAGUAGGCACAAGAUAUUCUCGGAUCAAUGGAGAGAAUUCCGGGGUAUCUUGUAAUAACAAGAUCAACUGGGAAUAAAAGUAAGAACGUCAAGUGUAUGUAUUUAUCCAUAGGGAUAUUUCGAUGGUAGGGAAUUGCAAAAGCAACGGGCACAAAGUCUCAAAAGAGUUUCGGCGAGUAACUUCGAAAUCUUCUGGUGCAGCCGGCGAUCACCUGGACUGAAGGGGCUCUCCGGGAGAAAGUAUUUUCGAGAACCUAAAGUCAGAUUUUAGUAAAAAUCGUUUAACCCGAGUAGAAGAGAGUUCAGAGUCCCAGAGUAAAGGUCUAGGAGUAAAAGAUCCUAGUACCACCCAAUGGCGACGUGGGCCCGUAAGGCACACAGCCAAGUUAGUAAAAGUUUUGCAAUGUCUAGACUCGACUUCGGCCAAGGAGUGUGGAAGGGGGAGUACUACAGGCAGUUGGCUCUGAUACCAACUUGUGACGCCCCCGAUUUAAUCGUACACUAAUCAUACAUGCAAAUGUGUAUGAUCAAGAUCAGGGACUCACGGGAAGAUAUCACAACACAACUCUACAAAUAAAAUAAGUCAUGCAAGCAUCAUAUUACAAGCCAGGGGCCUCGAAGGCUCGAAUACAAGAGCUCGAUCAUAGACGAGUCAGCGGAAGCAACAAUAUCUGAGUACAGACAUAAGUUAAACAAUUUUGCCUUAAGAAGGCUAGCACAAACUGGGAUACAGAUCGAAAGAGGCGCAGGCCUCCUGCCUGGGAUCCUCCUAACUACUCUUGGUCGUCAUCAGCGGCCUGCACGUAGUAGUAGGCACCUCCAGUGUAGUAGUCGUCGUUGACGGCGGCGUCUGGCUCCUAGACUCCAGCAUCUGGUUGCGACAACCAGAAAGAAAGGAAAGAGGGAAAAAGGGGGGAGAAAGCAACCGUGAGUACUCAUCCAAAGUACUCGCAAGCAAGGAACUACACUACAUAUGCAUGGGUAUAUGUGUAAGGAGGCCAUAUCGGUGGACUGAACUGCAGAAUGCCAGAAUAAGAGGGGGAUAGCUAGUCCUAUUGAAGACUACGCUUCUGGCAGCCUCCGUCUUGCAGCAUGUAGAAGAGAGUAGAUUGAAGUCCUCCAAGUAGCAUCUCCAAGUAGCAUCUCCAAGUAGCAUCUCCGGUAGCAUCGCAUAGCAUAAUCCUACCCAGCGAUCCUCCCCUCGUCGCUCUGUGGAAAAGCAAUCACCGGGUUGUCUGUGGAACUUGGAAGGGUGUGUUUUAAUAAGUAUCCGCUUCUAGUUGUCAUAAGGUCAAGGUACAACUCCAAGUCGUCCUGUCACCGAAGAUCACGGCUAUUCGAAUAGAUUAACUUCCCUGCAGGGGUGCACCAACUUACCCAACACGCUUGAUCCCAUUUGGCCGGACACACUUUCCCAGGUCAUGCCCGGCCGUGAAAGAUCAACACGUCGUAGCCCCACCUAGGCUCAACAGAGAGGCCAGCACGCCGGUCUAAACCUAAGCGCACAGGGGUCUGGGCCCAUCGCCCAUAGCACACCUGCACGUUGCGUACGCGGCCGAAAGCAGAACUAGCCCCCUUAAUACAAGAGCAGGCUUACGUUCCAAUCCGGCGCGCGCCACUCAGUCGCUGGCAUAGGCUCGUAGCCAACUCAGAUCAAAUACCAAGAUCUCGUUAAGCGUGUUAAGUAUCCGCGAACGCCGAACAGGGCCAGGCCCACCUCUCUCCUAGGCGGUCUUAACCUGCCCUGUCGCUCUGCCACAAGGUAACAGUUGGGGGCCGUCGGGAACCCAGGCCCACCUCUACCGGGAUGGAGCCACCUGUCCUUUCAGCCCCCAUCUCCGAACAGUACCACAGGUAAUGUAAUAGUGUAAAGUAUAUAGUAUAUACCCGUGAUCACCUCCCGAAGUGAUCACAGCCCAGUAGUAUAGCAUGGUAGACGGACAAGAGUGUAGGGCCACUGAUGGAACUCUAGCAUCCUAUACUAAGCAGUAGGAUAGCAGGUAAAGUUAACAACAGUAGUAGCAAGGACAGGCUAUGCAGCAGUAUAGGAUUAACUGAAAGCAGUAACAUGCUUCACUACUCUAAUGCAAGCAGUAUAGAGAAGAGUAGGCGAUAUCUGGUGAUCAAAGGGGGGGCUUGCCUGGUUGCUCAGACAAGGAGGGGUCGUCGGUGACGUAGUCGACCACAAGGGCAUCAGCAUCGGUCUCGGAGUCUACCGGAAAGGAGUAACGGAGGGGGAACACAAUAAAUAACAGAGCAAUCAAAUGUAACACAAAGCAAGACGCAGCAAUACGUUGUGCUAGGGGUGACCUAACGUAGGGAUAGGCGAUACCGGUGAAGGGGGAAACAUCCGGGAAAAUAUCCCCGGUGUUUCGUGUUUUCGGGCAGAGGAGCCGGAGGGGGAAAGUUGUGAGUUUGAUAUGUUAGGGGUGCGUGGCGGACGAACAGACUGCGUAUCCGGAUUCGUCUCGUCGUUCUGAGCAACUUUCAUGUUGAAGAUAUUUUAAUCCGAGUUACGGAUUAAAAGAUAUGAUUUUCUAAAGAUUUUAUUAAUUCUUGGAAUUUAAUUAAUUAUUUAAUUUAAUUCAAAAUUUGGUUUUAUGACAUCAGCAUGAUGUCAUGCUGAUGUCAGCAGUCAACAGAGUUGACUGGUCAACCUGACCAGUGGGUCCCACUGGUCAGUGACACAUUUUAAUUAGACAUAUUAAUUAACCUAAUUAGUAUUAAUUAGGGGGUGGGCCCCACUGUCAUUGACUGAUUAACUAAAACAGAUUAACUAGUUUAAUUGUUAAUUAGGUUAAUCUAAUCAGAAUUAGUUAAGUUAAUUAAUUUAAUUAAUUAAUUAACUGAUUAAUUAAUAUUUUUAUUAUUUUCUUUUAAUCUUUCUUUUUGAAACGUUCUGGGGCUGGGCCCCAUUGGCAGUGGCCCAGAGGGGCGAUGCGGUUUACAGGCGCUAGCGGGCGCCGGGUCUCGGGCGUCGCCCGAGUGAGGGGGGAAGCGAGGCAAGGCCAGUGGCAAACGCCGGCGAGGAGCGUGGCGUAGGGAGCCGCCGGACAGGGAGGGGUAAGGCGAAGGCCAUGGCAGAGCUGGGCGGUCGUGGCGAGGCACCGGCCGUGGCCGCGAGCGGUGAAGGCGCGGGUCGCGGCAGAGGCAAGGCCACGGCGGGGCCGGGAAGCAGCGGGCGGGCGCUGGCUGCACGGGGUGUGGCCGAGGCACAGUCGUAACCCUGGGCCAGCAUGCGGUAGGAGCCGCGGUUCGGGGCAAGUGGCGCGGGCGGAGCACGGCCACGGUGGCCUUGGGCGCAAGAAGGUGGUGUGGAGCGGCGAGCACAACGAGCGUGGCGCAGCCGGGUGGCCGCGGACGCGCAGCGACGGGCGUGGCGAGAAAGGGCGAUGGUGGCGGACGGGCGUGGUGCGAGGAACGAGAUAGAGACGGGGGAAAGCGGGGAUCGAGGGCGCGCUCACCGAGCCCUGUAGGCGUGCAACAGCAUGCUCGGGGAGGGCUCGACGGUGGCAUGCGUCGGCAAUGCGGACGGCGUCCUCGGGCGCGAGUAGAUCCGUCGAGGGAGAGGGAGAGGGGAGCGCGAGAUGGCGGAGCCGUCAAGGGCGACGUCAGAGCCGGCGAGGUGGUCCCGGGCGGCGGCGAGCGUUGGGCGUCGGGGUCGGCGAGAUCGGGGCCGAUCCCGAUCUAGAUCGGUGGGGGAGAAGGGGUCGUGGGGGGGGGAAGUGGGGUGCGGUUAGGGUUUCGGUCGUGCUGACCGGGGGGUUGUAGGCUGGGGCGCUGGGUGGGCCGGCCCAUUCGGCCGGCUGGGGCCAGCUGGGCCACUUGGCCCAGCGGAACAGGGGGGUUCUGUUUUCUCCCCUCUUUUUUUGUUUGUUUGUUUGUUUUGUUUUAAUUUUUUUUUGUUUUAAUUUUAUUUCCUAAUUUGUUUUAGUUUGGUAAAAUAUCCAAUUAGCACCUAACAUAGUAACAUUAAUUAUACCACUGCCACAACAACUUUGGCACCUAGCUAAAUAGCUUAGUAUUUUGUAAAAUAUAUUAGGAGUAUAACUAAUUGUUUUUGAUGUUGUUUUAAUCACCUUAGGGUAUUAAUUAUUUUAUAAAGAUGUUGUUUCUCCACCAAUAAUAUCCAUGAUUUAUUUGUCACAUUAAGAACAUUUUAGUUUUGACUUUCGAUAACUUUAAUUGUUUGACUUGACUUUAAAUUUGAAAUUGAACGAGAUUUGAAUCAUCGCAAGAUUAACAACAGUAAUCGUGGUGACGUGGCAUCAUUAGCAGAGGUUUACUGUAGCGUAACUAUCCGGGCGUCACA